AUUGAACGCUGGCGGAAUGCUUUACACAUGCAAGUCGAACGGCAGCACGGGGGCAACCCUGGUGGCGAGUGGCGAACGGGUGAGUAAUGUAUCGGAACGUGCCCAGUCGUGGGGGAUAACGUAGUGAAAAUUACGCUAAUACCGCAUACGAUCUACGGAUGAAAGCGGGGGAUCGCAAGACCUCGCGCGAUUGGAGCGGCCGAUAUCAGAUUAGGUAGUUGGUGGGGUAAAGGCUCACCAAGCCGACGAUCUGUAGCUGGUCUGAGAGGACGACCAGCCACACUGGAACUGAGACACGGUCCAGACUCCUACGGGAGGCAGCAGUGGGGAAUUUGGACAAUGGGCGCAAGCCUGAUCCAGCCAUUCCGCGUGCAGGAUGAAGGCCCUCGGGUUGUAAACUGCUUUUGUACGGAGCGAAAAGGCUCUCUCUAAUACAGGGGGCUCAUGACGGUACCGUAAGAAUAAGCACCGGCUAACUACGUGCCAGCAGCCGC
Molecule: ribosomal RNA, 494 nt
Filed under: uncultured bacterium
Lineage: Bacteria
Description: bacterial SSU rRNA
Rfam family: Bacterial small subunit ribosomal RNA
Source: RNAcentral